GCAGGUAUAAGUUAAUUGGUAGACUCACUGAUUUCCAAUCAGUUCGUGCUUGUUCAAGUCAGGCUACCUGUA
RNAcentral lists this transfer RNA (72 nucleotides) under Castanea mollissima (Chinese chestnut). It matches the Rfam family "tRNA". From Rfam's summary of the family: Transfer RNA (tRNA) molecules are approximately 80 nucleotides in length. The record is from Rfam by way of RNAcentral. RNAcentral also lists the same sequence under 4 other names. Lineage: Eukaryota; Viridiplantae; Streptophyta; Magnoliopsida; Fagales; Fagaceae.